AUCAGCUACGAAAUACGUGAUGGCUGUGCAAUCAAUAGAACAGAUGAACGAGCUAGCUUAUUCGAACAGAAGCUCGUACAGGUGGCAGAAAUGCACGGCGAACUUAUGGAGAUGAACGAGCGACUACAGCGUAGCCUGGUGGCGAAGAGUCACUCAUCGAGAGGCUGCGAGCCGAGCUGGAGGGGGUGAGGGGACCCCUCCCCUCUGCACUUUCCUCCUCACUUCCUCCUCAGCCUCCUCACUUGUCUCUCUCUGGCUGCCGUCGGUCUUCUCAGUGGGGACACAGACAGUCAUCACGUGUAUCAGGUUCACGUCCGUAUUUGCUCAGAGAGUGGAACGUCUACAGACGCUACGCCCAGUUCUAUGCGCUCCACAAACAACUCAAAAGCAGUACCCCAUUGUUUCCACUUUCAACUUUCCCCC
This is a long non-coding RNA of Nilaparvata lugens (brown planthopper), 423 nucleotides long. RefSeq lists it as uncharacterized. The transcript has 3 exons. Lineage: Eukaryota; Metazoa; Arthropoda; Insecta; Hemiptera; Delphacidae. The record is from RefSeq and is a predicted model, not a curated record.